UACGUAGGGGGCUAGCGUUGUCCGGAAUCAUUGGGCGUAAAGCGCGUGUAGGCGGCCCGGUAAGUCCGCUGUGAAAGUCGGGGGCUCAACCCUCGGAUGCCGGUGGAUACUGUCGGGCUAGAGUGCGGAAGAGGCGAGUGGAAUUCCUGGUGUAGCGGUGAAAUGCGCAGAUAUCAGGAGGAACACCGGUGGCGAAGGCGGGUCUCUGGGCCGAUACUGACGCUGAGGAGCGAAAGCGUGGGGAGCAAACAGG
Molecule: ribosomal RNA, 253 nt
Filed under: uncultured bacterium
Lineage: Bacteria
Description: partial 16S ribosomal RNA
Rfam family: Bacterial small subunit ribosomal RNA
Source: RNAcentral